AAACCAACCGGGAUUGCCUCAGUAACGGCGAGUGAAGCGGCAAAAGCUCAAAUUUGAAAUCUGGCACUUUCAGUGUCCGAGUUGUAAUUUGUAGAAGUAGUUUUGGGACUGGUCCUUAUCUAUGUUUCUUGGAACAGGACGUCAUAGAGGGUGAGAACCCCGUAUGAUGAGGCCCCCAGUCCUUUGUAAAACGCUUUCGAAGAGUCGAGUUGUUUGGGAAUGCAGCUCUAAGUGGGUGGUAAAUUCCAUCUAAAGCUAAAUAUUGGCGAGAGACCGAUAGCGAACAAGUACAGCGAUGGAAAGAUGAAAAGAACUUUGAAAAGAGAGUGAAAAAGUACGUGAAAUUGUUGAAAGGGAAGGGCAUUUGAUCAGACAUGGUGUUUUGCGCCCUUUGCUCCUUGUGGGCGGAGGAUACGCAGCUCACUGGGCCAACAUCAGUUUUGGGAGCAGGAUAAAUCUGUAGGAACGUAGCUUUCUUCGGGGAAGUGUUAUAGCCUACGGGAAUACUGCUACCUGGGGA
RNAcentral lists this ribosomal RNA (520 nucleotides) under uncultured Hanseniaspora. Its description in RNAcentral is "eukaryotic LSU rRNA". It matches the Rfam family "Eukaryotic large subunit ribosomal RNA", at positions 62 to 587 of the family's 3401-position model. Lineage: Eukaryota; Fungi; Ascomycota; Saccharomycetes; Saccharomycodales; Saccharomycodaceae. The record is from RNAcentral.